UUAAUUCAACCUGAACCAACAGCAGUUGUGAAACAGUGCAACUAGCAGUGAUGGGAGCAGAAACAUGAAGGUGCUUGCUGUGAGGACAGUGUGGGAUGUGGGGAUUCCAGCUUUGUAGGUACAGAAGAGAAGCAAGACUGGCUCUUACAAAGGGGAGAGAUGGUUGGAAGAAAAUUUGGUGUGUAUGACUUCCUUUGGGGGCAUGGCAUUGUGUAUGAGGGAUGAAUAUGUAUUUGCUUGAAGAGGUCGGUGGUUUGAUUCUUUCUUUUUAACUCCUUUCCCCCCCCAUCACCAAAUAGAAGCAUUGCCAUAGGACGGAGGUGGUGCUGUGUCCCAUCCCACUGCAGCUGAACUACCUGGCUCUUAUUUGACCCAAGCAGCCUUUAUGAUACAGAGAUCACCCAAGACAGAGCAGUGUGUGCAUCUUAGAUGAGAGAGCCUUGUAAAUAAGCAGCCCUGCUAUCCGUCCCAUUACUGCACUAAUUGGAAGGCCUGGGUUUCUGAUGGAGUAAGCAUUUUUUUUAAUAAUAAAAAGGUCGUAAUAUGGUAUCCGGUCUGCUUUAGGCACUGCUGUCUGCUCCGUUUUGUUUAUACUUAAAUAAUGGUGUAGAAAGCAAAUCCCAAAGUUCACAGAAGUAUUAUAUAUGGAAUCGUGUAUUGGCACUUGGAGAUAAUUAGUCGCAGAAAACAACAUCAGCCAGUUCGUGUGUUAAUUGAGCCUGAAAACUUAAACCUGUAAUUGGCAAGCCUAAUGGAGAGCCAUAAAAUCCACUGUAGUUACCCGAGUGCAGAAAUAAUUGUGCUGGGAAGUGUAACAUGAACUGCAUGUCGCAUUUCUGCCCUAAGAAACUGCAGUGGGGAGGGCUCUGCUCCCCGAGGCCCUGCGAGGGGCACUGCUUCCCAUCCACGCAGUCUUUUUAAGUGUAGCAGCUUGCAAUAUUUCCACUCCAGAGAGUGGAAUUCAGCAGGAUGAGCAGCCUGAUGUUUUGUUUGUCAUCGGAGUCUGUUGCAGCUUUUGGAAGCGCUCAGAUCCUCGAGGCCAGCAGGAAGGACCACGAUCCCCGGGGAGCAGCUGGCUCGUGCUUCUGGAGCAUCUCCUGGCCCUGCACUUGUCCUGCUGCCCGUGUCUGCCAGGCAGCCCUCACUGCGCAGUCACUAACAGAGGGAAAAGUCUUCGUGCCGAACAGUGCUGCUGCUUUGUUGUUUGGGAUACGGAUGUUACAGAGCUGCAUUUUGUAACACAGAGGUACCUGAAUCACACCCGGUGCUGCAGGAGGAGGCCUGGCCUCGCCAUGUUGGCACAGCAUCGCUCCGCGGUCACUGUGCUCUCCCAUCACACCCCCGACGGGCAGAAAUCCCUUUUUAUUUUCCCAUAUGCAAACCCCUCCUACUGUUCUCGUGGAGCUCGCAAGUGCUAAAGGUUACAAAAUCCAUCUUUUCUCUAAGAAAGCAACUUAAUUAAUGUGAAAGUUUCUCCCAGGAAGGGAACCCUCAGCAGAUAUGCGGUCUCCCUUGUCCCCUCAUGCAUUUUUCAUCACAGCUCGUGGCUCCCUCCCUGCCUGCCCUAUGAACAAUAUUGAUCGACUGAUUAAGCCAUCAAGCCGUGGCAAACAACUUUAAUUUUCAAACCAAAGCCUUUUAGUUCUCUUCCCUCUCUUGUAUAUUUGUUACCUCCUUAUGAAGUUUGUAAUGUCUCCUUAGAAACAAGCACGUUGGUUGUUUCUUUUUAAAUUAGUGCCCAGGUUAAUUGGGAGCUGCACACCACCGAUAGCCAUCCAUGUGAAGGUGUAAGAAGGGAAAACAGGGAGUGCCGAGCACAGGUUUAGGAGAAAAGAAGGCAGAUGUGGCUCUGAGGGCUGUGUCAGUGGGCACGGUGGGGUGGGCUGGGGUUGGAUUUGGGGAUCUGAGAGGGCUUUUCCAUCCUUCAUGUUUGUGAUUCCCCAUAAUUCAGAGCCUGAUCCAAACUCUCAGGGAAAGACUUGCUUGCGGUGCUUUGCCUGUUCUCUUUGGUGUCUCCACCUUCCUCGAGCCUGUCUUAAGCUCUGGUGAUGAUGAAGGGAGAGGAGAUUGAUGUGCCCCGAGUCCCAGGGUGAGAGCGUGGCACCGCAGCCUCUCUGCACGCGGCUCCGUGAGGCUUGUCAGUGCUGCUCUGCGGGCUUGCAAAUUGCUUUUCAAGGCGCUGGGCUUUCAGGCAGCACAGAGUUUUGAGAGCACCGGUGGGGAAUCGAUGGAAACGGCGUUUGUGGAGGACCUUCAUCUUGAAGCUGCCAGUUCUGCUGCGUCUGGAUUUGUGAGCUGCAAAGAUGAGCAAAAAAAAGCCCCAUGGAGCUGCGCUGCCUGCUGAGGCCUCACCCUGCAGUGCCAGGACCCCACAUUCUGCCCCUGGGGCUCUGCAGGGAACCCAUCUCUCCUUGCCCCAAGCUAUGAGGUGGCCCCCACGUGCUCUCACUGGGACAGGAGCUGUGAGGUUCUGUAGCUGCUGAGCAUGAACUUUACACGUUCCCGUUGCCCUCUGCCUGUGUGGCCUUAUUACAGAGGCGUGCUGUAGAUUUACUUCAAAUACAUGCAACAGGGUGACAGAUCAGCCUCGAGCUGCCUUCAGUGCAGGUUUUAGCAGUGGGUUUAUCACCUUAAUCCUUUUCCUGGGCUUCCCCCCCCCCCCCUUCCCCAAGCUUAGUACAGGACCUGCUUCCUUGCUUGGGGUCGAGCCGAUCAGACAGCACAGGAGCCUCAAAUUCCCCCGGUUUAUCGCUAAUGCCCUACAGCAAGGGAGAGCUUCAGCUCUUCACUCUCACCUGGUGUCCUUCAGAGGAGAUUUUCUGCACACAAAUGGGAGAGCAGCUGUUCUGCUGGGUUCCCUGUGCCUGGCUGUGGUACAGGGUCAGAAGCAGCCUUGUAUGGAUGGGGGGUCAGCAGCAACCCUGAAACACGGCUGCCUUCGAGCAGUUGGAGUUGUUUUCCAUCUUGCUUUGAGGAGCUCAGAGUCUGGCUUUAAGAUCAGCUAAUAAGUUCCUAUCAGGAUGUGCACGUGUUGUGAGCUUGUUGGAGUUCUUGAGGUCAUCUUUUUUCUUCCCUUUUAAAAUCAAAUUAUCGGAACAAACGACGGCGCUGCUUUCCUUGUUAAUGGGGGGAGGCUCUGCAGGGAGGUCAGGGGGGAUUCCUUUGCAGCACACGGGGUCUUUUGUUGCACGGUUUGACUUUUCUGUGUGUCUGUAAAGCUCAUCACAGAUUAUUGGUUUUAUCUGAUGAAAGAAGAGGAAAAAGCUGCAGUGUGGCACAGGAGUGCAGGUGAUCGGGGUUAGCGCAUUGAUCAGGGUUAGCGCACUGAUCAGUUAGCACACCUCUGAGAAUCACUGAGCUGUUAAGGUUGGGAAGGAGUGCUCAGAUUCCCAACCCACCACCUGUGGACACAUCCCUCAGAGCCACAUCAGCGCCACGGAGGUGCUCUUCCUACCAAGCAGACCCUUUGGAGCCAACAGGCAUGGCAAAUGGCAACACAAUCAGAUCCUCGCAUUUAAAAUUGUUCUCCUGCAGAUAAACAUAAGGAAAGCAAACCUUGAGUGUUUAAUGGGACGUGCCUAAGAGGAGAGCUGUGAAGCUCUGCAGAUCCCCUUUGUUUGCGUUGUUUGGUUCCUGUCAUUACAGACACGUGUGAGAUGAGAAGCGCAAACUCCGGAGGUAGAGCAGUGCAGAAGCUGUGUUGGAAACCUCAGUGAGAAGAUGAGCAUUUCUUUUUAAUCUGGAGUGUUUAUUAAAGGUUUUCCUUAGGAUGAGGGGAGGGAAGGUGGUUCGGCACUGUACUAAGAACACAAUGAGUGCCUUUUCAUAGUGAGAUCCAAAUGAGAAGGAUGGGACCAGGAGGGUUUGCAGAGCCACGACUGUGCCCGGUGUGUCCCAUAACCACACACAGCGCUGGGAUUUAUGGGGCGUGGAAAAUUGGAUUUCUUUAAAAUGUAAAUUUUGAGAAGGGUUGUAUUUUAUCGUUCAUCCCCGAGGUAGUGCGGGCUUUAUAAAACCCUUUCUAAUCUUGGAUUGAUGGAUGUCGAUGGGAGUUUUCCAUUCGGUGGAUGUUGGACCGGCCCCAGGGCGCAGCGCAGCAGCCGUCCCUGCAGGGAAUGCAGUCACACCCCGUGAGGUGAUGCUCUUGGACAAGAGGAGCUGUGUUCCUGGGCUGAGUAAAACAGAGGUAGGCAGCUGUGAGCCCCCAAUGCAGCGAGAGGUCGGAGAAGGCUCCGGGCAAAGAGCCGCUGUCCCACUGCUGGAUGGAGGGCACCUCCAAGGACAUCGCCGGCAUCCUCUGCCCGUGUGCUCUGCUGAGCUGUGUGCUCCUGGGAGAUGGAGAUGUGGGGUAUGGCACAGGGACACGGGAUAUGGCAUGCAGACCUUGGGGUGGGGACACUGGGGACAGCAGUCGGAACACUGGAGAUGAUGUGGGGGCACUGGGGAUGGAGAUGCUGAGGAUGGCACAGUGAUACUACAGCGUGGGGACGUGGUGUAUGGUAUGGGGACCUUGGGGACAGCACAGGGACACUGGGUAUGGCGUGGGGACUGUGGAUGGCACAAAGACACUGAGGGCAGCACAGGGUCCUUGGGGUUGGCACAGUAACACUGUGUAUGGUAUGGGGACCUAGGCAAUGGGGACAUGGGGUACAGCAUGGGGACCUUGGGGACAACAUGAGGGCCUUCGGGGUGGCACGGGGACACAGAUUACAGCAUGGUGACCUUGGAGAUGGGAACGUGGGGUACAGCACAAGGACCUCGGGGAUGGUAUGCGGAGACUGGAUAUGACAUGGGGACUCAGAGUACAGCACGGGGACAGUGGGGACAGCACAGGGACUUUGAGAUGGCAUGGGGAGGAGGCAUGCUCUGAGGUGUCUGUGGGGGCUGCAUUCGGGGUGCUGCAUUUGGGAAUGCAGGAUGAGGAGGGAUGAGCUCUGUGCUCGUCUCCCAGUGCUGUUGUGCAGGGAGAGGGGCUGAAUGCUGGAGCUGCUCAGGGAGAAAAAGAGAGAAGUGGGCUCGGGUCUCAUGGAGAGGCCAUGGGGUGUUUCUCCCACUGGGAUUUAAUGACAUCUGUGCAAACAAAAUGCUGCCGUGCGUGUUGCACGUACUUGUAUUUGCCCAGGGACCAUAUUAAAGAAAUAUCCCAAUAUGUGGUGUAAUACAGACAUAAAUCACAUCACUUUUCUGUAGUGUGCCUGAUCAAUCUGUGCAGCAGCUCCCCCUGUUCUACCCCCCCUCCCCUCCCCUCCAUAUAAUGAUCUUCAGUGCAAGAUUAAUAGCAGCCACUUCGAGAGCAUUAAGAUGACAUUAUCUCAAAAGAGAGCAAACACCAUUAGAAUUAAGGGCUGUCACGGGGCCGACAUUCCCAAUUUCUGGGGGAAAAGAGUGGGGCUGGGGCUGAGCAUGGCACAGUGCUCACUGCCGGCCGGCUGUGGGUGCAGCGCUUCCUCCCCAUCUCGGGGCAGGAGAAGGGGUCCCCCCAUGGUGGGGAACGGCCCCGUGCUCUGCGAUGGCAUCGUGGGAUGGGCGUGUUUGGUUGAACCCCCCCCUCCCCACCCCCCCCUCCUUCAUUAACUCGGCCGUUUUCAAGUGCGAACGCCCGGGCUGUAAAUCUGAGGCCAUUUAGCAGCUGAGGUGAACUGUGAAAAGCAGCUUUGCACCAUUUGCAGAUUGCUCGGUGAGCUGAGAGCUGACGCUGCUGACUCACGGGCAGAGCUGUGCUGGCAGCCCCCCAGCCCUGCACCCCCCCCGUCUUUGGCAGCAUCCAAAGUUCAUUCCAAGAACUGAAGUUGUCUGCAUCCAGCAAGGCCACCCGCUGCCCCCGAGUGCUGUGAGCGGCACGGGGCGGCUCUCUGUCCGUCCAUCCGUCCCUUUCCUGUCUGUCCAUCCAUGCAGCCCCCUCCCAGCUCAGUAUCUGGGGCCAACUGGUGGAAGUGGGCCGAUGAUGCCCUGGGCAGAGCCCUGCAGUGCUGCCCCAGCACUGCCACGUUAAGUGUGACAAAGGGAAAUGGAUAACUGAUAGUUGCUGGGGGGUUCUCGCUCACCUGGGGCUCGGCGGGCUUUGAUGCGGUUUGACAGGACCGGACCCACCUCCCUUUAAUUAAACGUCAUCCUGAAAAUUAAAAGGCGAACCUAUUGGCACAUGGAAUUAAAUCAAUCCGUGAUCGGUAACGAGAGAAUGAUGGAGGGGGCGAUGCCCGGGGAUGGAAGGACACACUCAGCAGAUGCUCUCCAAAGGCCACAGCUCAGCAGGAAGCACUGAAUCCAGGUACCCCCCCCGCCCCCCCUUGGCCUCUCAUGGGCAGUGAUGGGUGGGGAGCAGCAUCUGAUCCCACCCCUGGCAAUGGAUGGGAACACCACAGCUCGGUGGGUGCUCAGAGCCGUCCCCCGACCUCGGGUGUCUGCAGGGAUGGGGCACCACCACCUCUCUGGGCACACUGUGCCGGUGCAUCCCCGUCCUUUUUCCUCAUAUGCAGUCUAAACCUCCCCUCUUUUAGUUCACAGCAUCCAUGUCCUACCCCAAUAAGCCCUAUUAAAGAGUCCAUCCCCUUCAGUUUGACCACAGUGCUUGCCUUGAUGACAGAAAGAUCCUGGAAAUAUGUGAACUAAGCAUAUUUCAUUGUCGUGCUUGGAGCAGUCAGCAGAAGGGUUUAGCCUCAUCCUUAACUGAACUGUCCUCAUUACAACACUCAGCAUCACAGCCACUGGAGACCCCAUCCCAUCCGAGACCCUCCCAGUGGGCACGUGCAGUAUCACAGUGUUGUGUAAUAUAUGGUGGCUCCCGGUGUGUGUGGGACCAGCAGCACCCAACGGGCACAGCUCUGCCACCAACCCGUGUCCGGCAGCUGAAGGUCUGGGGACAAAGUGGGGCAAAGGGAGAGAACCCUCUCCUCGAUGGGGCACGGCUGGCAGGCACUGAAGGGUUGAGCUCCGUGGGAUCCAUAAUUCAUGAGCUU
Molecule: long non-coding RNA, 6956 nt
Filed under: Gallus gallus (chicken)
Lineage: Eukaryota; Metazoa; Chordata; Aves; Galliformes; Phasianidae
Source: RNAcentral